GGGGUUCCUAUAGAAACGCGGGCCGGGGCGCGCCCUCCGCUCGGCCCUGGUCGGGGCUGCGGCGCUUUGCACCGCGCCCCUCCCCAAAGGCUCUCUUUGCGUGGGCGCUCCCCUCCCUUUCUCUCCCCCCCCCAAAAAAAAUCAGAGCAGAAAAAAGGAUUAGAUCGGCUGAGCGCGAACUGACUCCCUCUCAAUUCUGACAUUUCAGCCUAUUAGCAUUUCUCCACGGGGCCUUCUGAAACCUAUUAAAGUGUAAUAUUAAAAACCUCUUGGCUGGGGGCCUCUCUCGCCUUCCAUCCGCCGCGCCCCCUCCAGGGAGGGCGAGACCAGGGGAAAAAAAAAAAAAAGAAAGAAAGAAAAUCUGUUGAGCUCAGAGGAAGCAGCAGCCAAGCCCCAAAAGUGCUUGGCUGGCCGCGGCGGCCGGAGGGGGAGGGGAGACCCAAUCCCCCAGACUUUGUACUUUUAUUUUGCGCUUUCAGCAAAAUCCUUUCUGGGUUGAGUAGCCGGGAGCUGCCCGCGGCAACCUACUUGGCUGCGGGCGCGAGGAGUGCGGACGCGGUCGGAGGGGCAGCCCCGCAGGGACCAGUGCCCGGCUAGGCAAUGCGUACCCUCGUAAGGAAGCUUGGAGGGGCAGAAAUCCUUGCCGAGCCUGCCUCAGAGAGCAGCUGCGGUGAUUAGAUUUUAAUUAAAACAAGAGAAGCCCGCUCUUUCGCCCCGCGCUGCGGACUCAGCGUUUUCGCAUCGUUCGUUCUAUUUUCCCCCCAAUCCAUUUUUAAGGCAACUUUUCUGGAGGGGGGGGGAUAAUGAGCUAGUUAGCACCCAUUCGUUCUAUUUUCUCUUCUCCACUUUUAGAAAAAGAGGGGGGGCAGGCUUGGAGAGCGAACUGGGGGUGUCUAAUUUAAUUCCAGUAUAAAUUUGAGGAAAAAAGUUCAGCCUCUUGAGGGCAGUUUCAAGUUGCCCUUUCUGGAGCCUCCUGCGCUGGUUUCUAGGCUGCCCUCUUUUGGAAGCUGGAGCUCUGCGUGGGGGAGGGAGGAGUGAGAAGGAAAGAAAGCCACGAAAAUAGCCGGAGCCGAGGGGAACGAGCGACGGAGCAGGGCACGCAGAGGGGCGGGGAACAGGCCACGGAGCUGGUGUCCUGCAUCAGCCGAGUAGGCCGCGUGGCUAUUGAUCCAGGGACAGCCACCUCCAAACAACCACCUCUUGCGCAGGACCUCGGGCGGAGACAACCGCAGAGGGGGGGGCAUUCACCCCUCCUGGGUGCCUCUGGAGAGCCUCCCUGUGCCAGUGACACGAUGGCAAACUGGCACGUGGCAGAUGCCAGAGGCGGAGGGUUUGGAAACCUUGCUGCGAAACACUCACCCAGGGAGCUUCGGCUCCUUCCUGGAAUUUCUAAAAGCACAUUUGGAGGGACGGAGGCCUGCUGGUCGAGCCCAGAAGAAUUUGAGCGCUGGUCUCAGUGGCGGAACGCAACCUGGGAGUGAAGAGGCGGCAGAGCCACAUUCCGGCCGCGCCUCCCCCCUGGGCCCCAGCCCCGGGCUGCCCCAGGAAGCGCCUCUGAAAACAAAGCGCUGCGGUUUCAGCCCAAGGUUAAAGUCCACCGCGAGCAUUUUUUCCCCCAGAAUCCAAGAGCGAUCGUGUUUCUCCAAAUAAACCGCCAAUAAAUCAGCACAGGGGCCGCCUGCUGAGGAGCUCUGCUGACCUUGGGGAAUGGAUUUCCUGCUAGACCCGUUGGAGGACAGGCAUGGGGAGGGGGACACCAUGCCAGCCGUGCCCCCCUCCAGAGAGAAGCGGAAGAGGGAUUGGCCAAGGGCAUUCAUGGGCGUUUAUCGUGGUACUUGUAUGCCCAGAGGGGAUGAGGCGGCUCUGGUUAUUUGGGGGGCUGGCACUGCCGGGUUGUGGGGGGUGGCUGUGGGAGAUGGUUGCUUUGAGGGAAGCUAACCGCGUGUUCACUGAGCACCCAGGGUCCCCACACUGUUCUAGGCACUGGGGAAGAGACACCAGGGACAGACAAGGCCUCUCUGGGGGCUUCCUCGUCCGGGUGUGCCUGGGUGUGUUCCGAGAGCCAGUCUGUGAGAGUGUGACGAAUGGGAUUUAUGUAUGUCAGCGCCAGGGUGACUAAUGGAGGGCCUGGCAGCACGUGUGUUUGGGGAGGGCUGUGCCUGCCUGGGGAGGGGUGCUGCGCCUGGGAGUGCGCGUGGGAGGGGGCUGCCUGGUCUCGAGGAACGCUUCUGCUACCGGAUCGCAGCUUUGUUUGGGCCUCUGAGCGCUGCCUAGCAGGCCUGUGCACGCUGAGGAGCAAGUUCCACCACCAGCCUGGCCCCCAGAGGCGCCGCCAUCCCUUCCCACCGCCCUGACCCACAUGGCCACUGCCGAUCCAGCCCAUCCCACCCCCUUCCACAGCAGAGCCCUCCAGCGUCCUCUCUUUCAGUCUGAAAAUUCCUUCUGCUGCAAAUCCGUGCAGGCCUGGACAGCCCUCCGUCACAGGGACUGUCACGCCCAUUUAACAGACCAGAAACCAGAGGUGCAGAAAGAGAAGCAAGAGACCCACACAGCUGAGACGCAGCGGCAGGCACCGUCAGCUGAGCCGGGUGGGGCGGCGGGGAUACCAAUGUGAACCCCAGCACCCCUGGGAGCCCCCGGCCUGGCCAGAACUAGCUCAGAGAAGGUACCCGGUCGACUGCACUAACCCAGCCGGCCGGCCCCCUCCCUGUCCUGGCCUGUGCGUUCUCUCCACUUUCUGCGGCCUCUCUCCUGCCCUUGCCCCGGGGGGUGGGGGGGCAACAGAGGUCAGAGGUUAACGGGAGCCCAUUUGGCCUGAGCCUGGUAAGGGCAGAGCGAGGUCAGGCUAGCCCAGGGAGCCUGGCCCGCAUUCCCCACUGAGAGGGGGCUGUGGUCAGGAGUUCAGGGCGCCAGGGCUCAUACCUGGUGGAGGUCGGGCUCAGGACACACCUGGAGAAUCCCAUCUCCCUGUGGGUCUCCUGGUUUCCGACCACCCCACACUGCACCCCUCCCCCCCGCCCCCAGCAGUCUCUGGGCGUUCCUCUGUUGCUGCUCCUUGCACGUGCAUUCUGUCCCACACGGCUGUGCCCCUGUUAGACACAGUCAUCAAAAGGGUCCCCAUGAGCCACAGGAGUGGGGUGACUCCCUAAGCUCACCCAGCCUGGGUGGCAACAAGGAAGCCAGACAGGUUUCAGCCCAGCUCUGCACCUCCGGUGCUCCCAGCCAGUGCCCUGUGGCCCCUGGUGGCAUCUCCAGGGACGGGACAGCAGGGCCUAACCGUUCUUCCCAGGUCUCCCGGGAGCCUCCCACCCCCACAGACUCCCAGG
Molecule: RNA transcript, 3326 nt
Organism: Hippopotamus amphibius kiboko
Lineage: Eukaryota; Metazoa; Chordata; Mammalia; Artiodactyla; Hippopotamidae
Exons: 2
Source: RefSeq, a predicted model, not a curated record